UGCAACUUAUAUUAUAAGUUAUUAUUUGUAUGUUGGAAAUGUAAAACAUUAAUGAGGAACAUUGGUGAAGAUUAUCCCCACUUAAUUACAGGUGGCGCUGUGGUAGAUCAGGUCCUACAACAUCUGUUUGUAUGAUAAGGAAGUCUGCAUGCAUUCAUAGGCAUGAUACACAUACAUGUGUAUGCUGAUAAUUUAGUCUUAAUAAAGAUAUUUUGUUUUAAUUUUUAUACUUAUAACUAUUCCAAAUAUUUUAAUGAUACAAUAUAAUGUCAAAAGUUUUGUAAUUGAACACUGCCUGAACUAAGAAAAACAAUUGAAAUUAAGAGGUGCAGAUGUAACAAGAAGACAAUUAAGAGAGUUGAUUGAAGGAUAGGUUUAAAAUAUAUUUAUAAAUAUAAAUAUAAAUGCAUUUUUAUCAUGUCUUUCUUCAUUAAAAACAAAUGGAAUAUAGAGAAGUUUUUAGAAACAUGUAUUCAUUACUGAAUAUUUAAUUAAAUAUAUUUACAAAAAUAUUCAAAUUAUAAUGAAUUUUUCGUUUUGGUUUUCAUUGCAAUUAAUUUCAUAAAUUUAUUAAUUAAUUAGAUUUUGUAAUUAGAAUUAAAACUAUAUACAUCUAUAUGACAAAUUAUAAACCAAAUCUAGCUUAAAAAAAAAUUGAUGGGUUUUUCCACAAAAAAACUAUAAAAAAAAUAUCUCUCAGGACUCUUAGUUAAGAAUAUUUGACAGAAAGCAAAAUUUGGAAAUGACUUUAUACAUUUUACAUCAAAACCAACAGAGGUAAAUCUGGACCCAAAGCAAAAAAUACUAGGUACUACAGUUAAGCAGUUGUACAACAGUAUAUCUGAAAUACUUGCGACUGGGAAUCAAAAUGACUUAUUGUUUGUCAAUUCAAAGUGUUAUACUUAAGCGAAAAGAAAAAUCUCAAACAAAGUUGAUGUUUUGUGCAAAAAUAGAGACCUCUUUAUUAUUGUGUCCAAUUGUGACUGUGCUGCUGGUAUAGUCACAACAGCUCAUAGUAAACUUUGUAUAAAUGCAGUUCGUUUUGGUAUGACAGUUUGUUUUUUUCAAGGAGUUGAGGACAGAGAAAACUUGCUCACAACAUUUGCUUCUCCAGGUGGAUUAACAGAAAAAAAUAUAGUAUCAGUAAUCAAAUGCCCAUAUACAUUCCAAAAUGAACUGUUCACACCUAAAUCUGUUCCUUACUUGUCUGAGGUAAAUGGGGAGUAAGUGUUGAGCUAAAAAACAUCAUUAUACUUUCAACUACAAUGAAAAAUGUUUUGAUCUAGAAAACAAGCAUGUGAUAUUUUUGUGUACAUAUUUAAGAUCAGAAAUUAAUAUCAAAGAAAUUAAAAAUGUGUAGCUGAAAUGAAAGAUGUUUAAACGUUUUUAUUAGAUUGAUAUUUAAAACAAGCAGAUCAUAUUUUUUAAUUAUUGUUUUGGAAUAUGAAUACUUUUCAUUCACCAAAACUUGUUAUUGAUGUUUUAUCACUCAUAAAAAGAAACAUCAUAGAAAACUACACUUCUUUUGUUAGGUGUCCAUUCUUUGUGUGUUUUAUCCUUUGGAUUUCGUUUUAUUGCAAUUGCCCAUUUCAUUUUUGUCGAGCCUUCGACUUUAGUCGAAAAAGCGAGACAUAGCGAUCCUACAUCCCGUCGGCUUCGUUGUCGGCGUCCACAAAUAUUCACUCUGUGGUUAAAGUUUUUGAAAUUUUAAUAACUUUCUUAAACUAUCCUGGAUUUCUACCAAACUUGGACAGAAGCUUGUUUAUGAUCAUAAGAUAGUAUCCAGAAGUAAAUUUUGUAAAAAUAAAAUUCUUGUUUUUCCAUAUUUUACCUGUAAAUGGACUUAGUUUUUCUGCUGGGAAACAUUACAUUCACUUUGUGGUUAAAGUUUUUAAAAUUUUAAUAACUUUCUUAAACUAUCCUAAAUUUGUACCAAACUUGGACAGAAGCUUGUUUAUGAUCAUAAGAUAGUAUCCAGAAGUAAAUUUGUUAAAAAAUAAAUUUCAUUUUUUCUGUACUUUGCUUAUAAAUGGACUUAGUUUUUCCGCCCAGGAAACAAUACAUUCACUCUGUGGUUAAAGUUUUUAAAAUUUUAAUAACUUUCUUAAACUAUCCUGGAUUUGUACCAAACUUUGACAGAAGCUUGUUUAUGAUCAAAAGCUAGUAUCUAGAAGGAAAUUUUGUUAAAAUUUUGUACCUGUUUAUCCGUAUUUUACUUAUAAAUGGACUUCCAGUUAACAUUAAAUACAGUCUGCAGUUAGAGUUUUUAAAACAUUUAUUAGAUUCAUAAACUAUCCUGGAUUUAUACCAAACUUUGACAGAAGCUUCUUACAAUCAAAAGAUAGUAUCUAAAGGAAUAUUUUUAUUGAUUUUUUUCCCCAUUUUUGUUGAGCCUGCGAUUAACAGCAAAAGUAGGAGAGACAAUGGGUUCCUCGAAACCCUUACAAAUUUUUUAACUUCCCAUUUUUAAUAUGGGAACACAUGUAUAUCCACCUCUAUUAGAACAUGCAGGUUCACAACAAAAUGGCAUUUAAGGGAAUAAAAACUUAUUAUUUUAACUUGUAAACAAGUAAUCAACACACUGUAAUUCUAAAUAUAUAGGUUAUAGAUAUGAGAUGCUGUGUGUGUUGGACCUGAUCUACAGCACUGCCACCUGUAUUAUCAUUAAAGGGGAAUAUUUGAUCAAUGUUCCUCAUUGCAAUCUAAAGCUGUAAAAUAAAAAUUAUGAUUAUAUGCAAAAUGAGAUUUUUUUAAGAAGACAGAAAUCCUGAAUUAUUUUAGCAGCAGUCUGUGUUUAAACUAUGUUCUAUAAAAGAGGGACGAAAGAUAACAGAGGAACAGUCAAACUCACAGAUCGAAAACAAACUGACAACGCCAUAGCCAAAAAUAAAAAGACAAACAGACAAAUAAUAGUACAGAUGACACAACAUAGAAAACUAAAGACUAAGCAACACAAACCCCACCAAAAACUAAAAACUAUAAAUGCAAUACCAAAAAUAAAAUUAUUUGAAAAUUUUGAGACAAACUUUCUUGAAUUAACUGAUAUACUCUAACCUACUUAUUUUUCACCCAAACAUAUUGUUUGUUGUAUUUAGCCCUCUCUAAUGGACUUUUAAUAAUUUAUUUUUUUACAAUUUCUAAUAUUGAUGGAAAUGUUUUAAGAAAUUUAAUUAAUCAAUAGAACAGAAUUAGAGACAAGGAGUAAGCCUCCUUCAUUUACUAUAGCUACUAUGUAGCAAAUACCUUUGGAUUUAAUGACCUUGUUUGUUAUGCAAGUAAUACCAAGUCUUUCAAACUUUAUUAUGGUUAUAGAAUAAAAUGUUUGUACUAUA
This is a long non-coding RNA of Mytilus californianus (California mussel), 3332 nucleotides long. RefSeq lists it as uncharacterized. Lineage: Eukaryota; Metazoa; Mollusca; Bivalvia; Mytilida; Mytilidae. The transcript has 2 exons. The record is from RefSeq and is a predicted model, not a curated record.